UCAGUGUUUGUCAAGAUGGCGUGAUAUGUUCAUGUUCAUAUAGAUGGAUGUUGGAUUUAUUGGUGUACUUUAAAAAUUAACGAAUAUUUUGAAGGUACGUACAUAUAUACGCAUUAAAUAAAAGUAAAUUGAGUAAUUUAAGACGUAAUAAUAAUAUUGUUGCGUAUCCGAAUGGUUAAAAAAGAAACAAAAUAGUAUCUUUUUAGGUAUAAUGAUGGACGACUCUGAAAUAAAGGAGCUUAUUAUUCUAACUGGGAAAUAUGCCACAAUUUAAAGCUGGGACAGAAUGAUAUAAUAUAUAGCUUCAGAACAAUGUUAAGAAAGGAGUUAUUAACCAACUGCGGGGCCUUCCAGAAAUGGUAGAACUUCAUACAUUGAAUUGCUGAUAUACAAAGUGCUAUUAACAAAAGAAGGAAAAUUUGAGGAAGUUGGAUUUGCCUCUCCAUCCUUUUAUUAUUGUGUAGAAGCCAGUGGUUUAAGAGUGGAGAAAAUAUUUGUAUGUAAUAAUAACGUUUUAUAUCUUGUUUUAUUAAUAAAUAAUGAUUUUACCUUAACACAA
Molecule: long non-coding RNA, 559 nt
Filed under: Diabrotica virgifera virgifera (western corn rootworm)
Lineage: Eukaryota; Metazoa; Arthropoda; Insecta; Coleoptera; Chrysomelidae
Description: uncharacterized LOC126889795
Source: RNAcentral